Molecule: long non-coding RNA, 478 nt
Organism: Gallus gallus (chicken)
Lineage: Eukaryota; Metazoa; Chordata; Aves; Galliformes; Phasianidae
Source: Ensembl
GUUUUAUAAUCAAACUUCUUUUUUUUCCAAUAUAACUUUAAAACCAAACAUUAUCUUGGUUUGUAGACAAGUGUGUUUAAUUGUAGCUUGCUUUGUGUUUGGCCAUUUUUUGUUCUGAAAGCACAGGCAGUGGCUUGGUGCUGUGGCAAAUGUGGCUUUACAUCUGACAACUGCUGUUAAAACAUGUUAUGAUCACAUGACACAGUUAUCUGCAAGGUUAACAGCCUGUCACUUUACAUUCAUGGGGGAAGAAAAAGUGGAUUAAAGCCAAAGCUCCUGGUGAGGAUAUGAAGGAAUUCAGGAUGACAGUUUCAGUGUCUUAUCCAAACAGACGUGUAUUGGAAAAGGACUAGAGAAAUGGUGACAGCAGAUUCAGGACUAUCCUGAUAGUGAUUCCAAAUCUUCCAAGGAAGAAAAUGGAGGGGGUGAAUAUGCUAGGAAGAAUAUGAAGAAAAACUUGGAAGCAGUCAUUGCAGGG